GAUGAACGCUGGCGGCGUGCUUAACACAUGCAAGUCGAACGAUGAAGCUGGAGCUUGCUCCGGCGGAUUAGUGGCGAACGGGUGAGUAACACGUGAGCAAUCUGCCCUUGACUCUGGGAUAACUGCGGGAAACUGUAGCUAAUACCGGAUACGACGCCUUGGGGCAUCCCACGGGCGUGGAAAGAAUUUCGGUCAAGGAUGAGCUCGCGGCCUAUCAGCUUGUUGGUGAGGUAAUGGCUCACCAAGGCGA
This 250-nucleotide ribosomal RNA is filed under the name uncultured bacterium. RNAcentral describes it as "partial 16S ribosomal RNA". It matches the Rfam family "Bacterial small subunit ribosomal RNA", at positions 28 to 276 of the family's 1533-position model. The record is from RNAcentral.